AACGAACGCUGGCGGCAGGCCUAACACAUGCAAGUCGAGCGAGGACUUCGGUCCUAGCGGCGGACGGGUGAGUAACGCGUGGGAACGUGCCCUUUGCUUCGGAAUAGCCCUGGGAAACUGGGAGUAAUACCGGAUGAGCCCUUUGGGGGGAGGAUUUAUCGGCGAAGGAUCGGCCCGCGUUGGAUUAGGUAGUUGGUGGGGUAAUGGCCUACCAAGCCGACGAUCCAUAGCUGGUUUGAGAGGAUGAUCAGCCACACUGGGACUGAGACACGGCCCAGACUCCUACGGGAGGCAGCAGUGGGGAAUCUUAGACAAUGGGGGAAACCCUGAUCGAGCCAUGCCGCGUGAGCGAUGAAGGCCUUAGGGUUGUAAAGCUCUUUCAGCUGGGAAGAUAAUGACGGUACCAGCAGAAGAAGCCCCGGCUAACUCCGUG
Molecule: ribosomal RNA, 433 nt
Filed under: uncultured bacterium
Lineage: Bacteria
Description: partial 16S ribosomal RNA
Rfam family: Bacterial small subunit ribosomal RNA
Source: RNAcentral